UCGGGAAUUUUGGGCAAUGGGCGAAAGCCUGACCCAGCAACGCCGCGUGAGGGAUGAAGGCCUUCGGGUCGUAAACCUCUGUCGGGAGGGAAGAACGUUCCCGGGGUGAACAAUCCCGGGGGGCUGACGGUACCUCCAAGGGAAGCGCCGGCUAACUCCGUGCCAGCAGCCGCGGUAAUACGGAGGGCGCAAGCGUUGUUCGGAAUCAUUGGGCGUAAAGCGCGUGUAGGCGGCUUGGCAAGUCGAGUGUGAAAGCCCGGGGCUCAACCCCGGAAGGUCGCUCGAAACUGCCUCGCUCGAGUCCCGGAGAGGAAGGCGGAAUUCCCGGUGUAGAGGUGAAAUUCGUAGAUAUCGGGAGGAGCACCAGCGGCGAAGGCGGCCUUCUGGACGGUGACUGACGCUGAGACGCGAAAGCGUGGGGAGCAAACAGGAUUAGAUACCCUGGUAGUCCACGCCGUAAACGUUGGGUGCUAGGUGUCGCGGGUAUUGACCCUGCGGUGCCGCCGCUAACGCAUUAAGCA
Molecule: ribosomal RNA, 521 nt
Filed under: uncultured Pseudomonadota bacterium
Lineage: Bacteria; Pseudomonadati; Pseudomonadota
Description: bacterial SSU rRNA
Rfam family: Bacterial small subunit ribosomal RNA
Source: RNAcentral